AAUAUGUUAGUCCAACAAGUAUGUUCGUUUGCGCUCAAAUUUGACAGUCAGGCUCAGUUUAACUUAAAAGAACAAAGAAAUUUUAAUCUUUCAGUUCCGACUAUUUUUUAUCCCCGAAAGCUCUACCGAACUGAAAUCUCUAGCAGAUAGCAGUCAGAUUUUAUUUUUCACUUUCCGGAUAUCAGAAUGACAUGAAACUUUAAAUCUAAGCUCAUAAAAAUAAUUCUGACAUAUUUUUCAGUUUUCAUAAUUUUCUGAUACUGUAAAUUUUUCUGCUAAAAUAUCAGUCUCGUUUCUCACAGAAAAUUCUAAAUCUCCUGUUUUUAUUCCGAUUUCAGCAUAAGUCAUUUCCAACUUAUACUUACUUCUUUAAGGCCAAUAAAAAUAGUACAUUACACUAUUUUUAUUUACACUUAAUUUUGUAUUAAAAUNAUAUGAAAUUAGUUUAUUUAUAGUUUAUUAAAAUUUAAAAAUAGAUCUAUUUGAUUAAAUUAUUAUGUGGACCAAUUUUUAAUAUUUUAGAUAAAUCUAGCAUUUUGUAUGAGAUUUAAGAAAAAAAAAAAAACUUUGAAAUUACUUUGGGCCAUACCUUUGAUUUGUUUUUCCUUUAGGCCUAUUUUUUUAUUAUCCUCAACUCUCCCUUUCAGUCAUUUCUUUUCUUUUCAGUCAUUUCUUUUCUUCUCACAUUUCUUUCUCUAUUUUUUUCUUUUCUAUUUUUCUCUUCCCUUUUCUUAUUAAAGUUUUUCCUCGAAUUUCUUUUUGUCAAUUUCUUCUAUUUCUAUUUUGAUCACUUCGAUCUUAGGUGAAAAGGAAAAGAAAUAGUAAAUUGAAGGUGUACUUAUUAUGUAGGUAAAAAAAUUUAUAAUUUAAUUUUUAAAAAUAUUUUAAAUAUUUCUAACUUGUAAAUAGGAUUGUAAAAUGGGUUGCCCAGCUAGGCACCACUCGGGGCUGGGCCGUGGCCGGGCACGGCUGCUGUAACAUUCGUGUCGGGCCGGUCCGAUCCAAAUUUUUGGGGUGUG
Molecule: long non-coding RNA, 1019 nt
Filed under: Ananas comosus (pineapple)
Lineage: Eukaryota; Viridiplantae; Streptophyta; Magnoliopsida; Poales; Bromeliaceae
Description: long non-coding RNA (ACOM_LNC029206)
Source: RNAcentral